AUUGAACGCUGGCGGCAUGCCUUACACAUGCAAGUCGAACGGCAGCACGGGUGCUUGCACCUGGUGGCGAGUGGCGAACGGGUGAGUAAUACAUCGGAACAUGUCCUGUAGUGGGGGAUAGCCCGGCGAAAGCCGGAUUAAUACCGCAUACGAUCUACGGAUGAAAGCGGGGGCCCUUCGGGCCUCGCGCUAUAGGGUUGGCUGAUGGCUGAUUAGCUAGUUGGUGGGGUAAAGGCCUACCAAGGCGACGAUCAGUAGCUGGUCUGAGAGGACGACCAGCCACACUGGGACUGAGACACGGCCCAGACUCCUACGGGAGGCAGCAGUGGGGAAUUUUGGACAAUGGGCGAAAGCCUGAUCCAGCAAUGCCGCGUGUGUGAAGAAGGCCUUCGGGUUGUAAAGCACUUUUGUCCGGAAAGAAAUCCUUGGCCCUAAUACGGUCGGGGGAUGACGGUACCGGAAGAAUAAGCACCGGCUAACUACGUG
RNAcentral lists this ribosomal RNA (486 nucleotides) under uncultured bacterium. Its description in RNAcentral is "partial 16S ribosomal RNA". It matches the Rfam family "Bacterial small subunit ribosomal RNA", at positions 30 to 507 of the family's 1533-position model. The record is from RNAcentral.